This 55-nucleotide ribosomal RNA is filed under the name Penicillium sp. TMSF0169. RNAcentral's name for it is "partial 28S ribosomal RNA". The record is from RNAcentral. Lineage: Eukaryota; Fungi; Ascomycota; Eurotiomycetes; Eurotiales; Aspergillaceae.
UUGACCUCAGAUCAAGGACGGAUACCCGCUGAACUUAAGCAUAUCGUUAACCCGG